Molecule: ribosomal RNA, 319 nt
Filed under: uncultured eukaryote
Lineage: Eukaryota
Description: partial 18S ribosomal RNA
Rfam family: Eukaryotic small subunit ribosomal RNA
Source: RNAcentral
CCCUUAGAUGGUCUGGGCGGCACGCGCGCUACAAUGAUGCAUUCAAAAAGUCUUCUGACCUUAGAAGGUUGGGUAUUCUCCAAAGUGCAUCGUGAUGGGAAUAGUUUAUUGCAAUUUUUAAUCUUGAACGAGGAAUUCCUAGUAAGUACAGGUCAUCAACUUGUGUUGAUUACGUCCCUGCCCUUUGUACACAUCGCCCGUCGCUCCUACUGAUUGAGUGUCUCGGUGAAUUCUUUGAUCUUCUGUCGAUUCAGUUCACUGAUCCGACGGUGGAAAGUUGAAUGAACUUCGUCACUUAGAGGAAGGAGAAGUCGUAACA